AGCGACGAGCUGCCAGCUCUUAGUGCGCCGGCACAUGCUUUUCCACGGGCGCCCUCCGCUCGACACACCGACCCCUGCCAGAGGCGUGCGGGCUCAGGGAAAGGCGGAGUGCCUCAUGCUGCUACAGACACAUAGCCACGUCCCGCCUGUCGCGGCACAUGUGGGCAAGCCGUCCAGAGACCCCCUCUCCCCACGACAGCGGCGUCGCCCUGGAGCAGGCCUGAAUACCGGAAAGCUGCGAGCGCUGCAUGCAGGCGCUGCCAACCGCAGCGGGCAUGGCGUAUCGCAUCCAGAGAAGGCAUUCAGAGGUGAGACGAGCACGACUGAUAGACGAAAAAGGCGCGAAGAGAUCCGCACGAACCAGCCCCACAGCGCAUGUGGGCGAAAUGCGCGGCAUCUCCUACGUCCGACGGGGUGAGCUGGUGCGGCGCAGGCGCCGGAAACGUGUCGAGAGCACCCCCCCCCCGGGACUACACCAUGGCGUCAUCGGGGCUGCAAUGUGAUGGGCCGCCUCACGGCACUACGGGAUGCCGCGGCGUGAGGCGACUGGGAGGGUGAAACAUGGGACACGCUGGCAGAGUGCGGGGUCUUUGAGGGCCCUGACCCGCGGCUGGCGGACUUCCUCCCUGAGCUCAUCCGGCAUGCGCCCCGACCACCCCCUGUUGACCGCACGACGGACGCCACCGCCUCCGCCCUGGAGCAGGACGCUGAGUGCGGCUCGCCCGGAUCAGGGCAUGCAGUCCCGCCAGGGUGCUUAUGGAGCCAAUCGCGCAGCACGCUUGUCGAGAAGGGGCGAGGAAGGGCGAGAGGUGCGCGUUAGGCGCGCGGCCCCGAUUCGAUGACAGGACGGUGUGUCCUAGACGUCGAGGAUGUAGCCGUGCUGCCGCUGGUGCGGGUGAGCGGCGGCUGCGCAUGCGUAUGUUCUCGGACCUGCUGCGGGUGUGGAAUGGGCGCAUUGAAGGUGGGUAAAAACGAAACGAAAGCGAGUGUGUGGUGUUCGUAAGCUCUGCUGUCUCUCUCCUAUUCAUCUGCUCCGGCGGUGGGCCUCGCUGCAUUUGCGCGUCUUCAUCGGUGCCUCCGAAACACCCCUUCAUCACCUCUCUCUCUGUAG
RNAcentral lists this unclassified non-coding RNA (1111 nucleotides) under Leishmania donovani. Its description in RNAcentral is "gene:unknown". Lineage: Eukaryota; Euglenozoa; Kinetoplastea; Trypanosomatida; Trypanosomatidae. The record is from RNAcentral.